Molecule: non-coding RNA, 1775 nt
Organism: Microcebus murinus (gray mouse lemur)
Lineage: Eukaryota; Metazoa; Chordata; Mammalia; Primates; Cheirogaleidae
Source: RefSeq, a predicted model, not a curated record
CCUGGCUCUGCCUGGUCAUCUCCAGCCAGGCAGGGAAAGGGCUUCCCGGGGUCGGGAGCAAGUUGUUGGGGUCUCUGAUGCCCUGGGCCCCACCUGCCUGCCAUGAGGGGGCCUCCCUGCAUACCGCGGCCCAGCCAUGGCACCGGUCUGAAGGAUCCGCUGGGCAGCACGGGGCAUCUGAGGAAUUAGCCCAGGGAAUGAAGAAAGAUGAUGGCGUGGGAUUCCAGGCAGAGGAAAUAGCUUGAGCAAAUUGCAGAGGCAAGAAACAGGAGACGUUCGCUCCGGCGAUGCAUUUGUACGGAAAGAUUCCGGAGCAACAGGAAACGCAGAAGACUAAACCACGUGGGGAGAAAACUCUUCCUGGUUUCUGAGCAAAUUUUCUCAAAGGGGUUUGAUGCUCUGAAAAUGCCAGUCCAUGCCAGGAUUUGCCUCCGAAACGCUGAAAUCCUAUGCGGCAAGAGAAGGUUCCUGUCCGCGACUGUUCUAUUAUACCACACCAUGGUCAGCUCUUGUGUUUUCUGCACACUUUAUUCAACAGGAGGAUUAAUGCAGAAGCUCCUAUUAAUACUGAAUCUGUUUCCUGGCUCCUUCCUCCUUCCUCUGCAAGCUGCACAUCCGCCCUGCUUGGGGAGUCACUGUGUGAGGCAGAGAGAAGCGUUCUGUGACACCAGUCCCAGCUGGUGCGUGCCAUACUGGAAAAAGCACUUAAUUAAUGACUGUCUUUCGUUUGCUCUGGAUUGCAGCUUUGUAUUAAAACACAAACACAUCAUGUAAAUGAGCAAAACAAAACAACUAAAGUUAAGCAAUCAAGCGGGUCAUUUUUUACCUAGCUUUAAAAACAUUCUGUGAAUUCCCGUUAAAUUAUACUGAUUUAGGAUUUUUAAACUCUUUUGAAAAUGAAAUACAUACAUGUUGUCCCAUUCCUCAUGAAUGAUCAGCAAUGAGCCUGCCUCGAGUAGUUCAGAAUGCAUGCCCUUUUUUUAUUAGCUACUUUAGGAUUGCUUUAGUUUCAACUCCGAAGAUUAAAAAUAAUAAACUAAUAAAAAUGUAAUGAGAUGCUACAGCCAUUGUUUUAUUACAGUAAUUUCUUUUCUUUUUCUUGUAAUGGAGCUUCUUAAAUAAUCCUUCUGACAAUGUAAAAAUUUAAAAGAUGAUAUACUUUUAUUAUUAUAACUGCUUAAGGACAAAAGAAUAAUUCAUACGUUUAAUGUUUCUUGUCAAAGCCUCAUCAUACCUAAAAGAAGAUAAAUACACUAUAAUAAAUUAUCAUUGCCAAAGGAUAGGUAUUUAAUAAAUAUGUAUUGAUAAGGAUCACAAUUUCUAUAUCACCAAGAACUCUGAAAGAUAUUAUAAGUCUUGUUUAAAAAAUAUUCUCACUUUGAAUUCUAUAUUUUUCCAAUUCCUUGGCAUGACAAUAAAGGGGCAAACAUUGGCAGACAUUGUUGGAAUAGUAGGCCACGAUGGGAAGGCGUUCUUUCAAUACGUUUUUAUGUUAUGCCCAGGGUGGUGCCAUGAUUGUUUCCAUAGGAACAGGAAUUUCUUUAAAGCAGAAAGGAAUGCUAAGAGAAAAAAAAGCACAUGGGGAAAUAAUAAUUAUACAAAAUAUUAGUUCAUGCCUGUGGAGUAUUCAUUGCAUUAUUCAUAUCCAUCAAAGAAAUAAUAACUAAACUGAGAGCAUUCAAAAGAAAAUUGCUCAACGCUCUUUCCAUUAAAUGGAUUGGUCGCUUUGCAGCUUCUGUCUGUUCUAAAAAUGCCCUGUAAUGAUGGAGUUGAUU